GGCACUGACUCCAUGGCUCAGAGGAGGGAAAUCCAGGGAAGGGCUGAAUGCUCUGUGUUUCAGGUUUCAGGGAGAGAUAGAAUGGACAGCUGGGCAAACACACACCCAGGGACUCCUUUCUCCAAGACGGAUGGACAUUGGGGGUGGCAGAGGAAAUACCAGCAUGGAACAACAUCCCAGGGACCUGCGUCCUCCCCAGGUUAAACUCCUGGGUCCUUGCAUGGCUGCGUGUCUUCUGCAGGCCACAUCUCCUCAGGACUCCCCUACUCAUCACUUUCCCAUUGCUAUGGAAGAGGGGUGUCAGGGUGGCACCUGCCUCCUUGUUUGUAUGUUCAGGUGCAUGGCUACCAGAGGAAAAGCCACUCCCAACCUUUGUCGACAAUCAUCCCGUUUCUGGGUUUCUGGAAAAGUCUGGGAAGCUGCUCUGUUGUAGAGGCUGAAAGGAGGGUUGGUGAGAGCCCCCAGCUCCAAACCAGCCCUGCCCCUUACCCUUCCUCACCCCUCUACCUUCACUCUCCUCCUAACACUCCAGGGUUUUGUUUUUUUGUUUGUUUUUUGCCUUUCUCACCCCAGGGCUCCUGCCUCUCCAGCCUGGAGACAGAUUUGAUUUGGGAUUGUUACAAAAAUAAUAAUAACCCAAAUGCAGAGAAGCCACGGAAAGGGCUGAGGGCAACCCUCCCCUCCCCCCCGCCCUCCUCCCUCCCCAUUCCAAACCGAGUACAAAACCGCACCCAAAGCAGACAUUCUGUACAGGGGGGUGGGUGGGCUGGGGAGCAAGCGGGAGGGGCGGCCCUGGGGUCGCUCUAUACAAGUCCAGGUUGGUGAUAGCCCCAGCAGUCCCCACGGGGCCCCUGGGGGGGCGCAGGAAGUGGGCAGGCGCCCCUAGAUGAAAUAUUCCUUCUUGUCGUCCCCUCCCGACUGCCCGCCUUCUGCAUUGAUGAUGGCCGUGUCCGCAUCUGGGGCAUCGUCGGAGCCUUUCGCCUCAUGUGUCAGUAAUGUCCAAGGAAGAUGAGCAUGAUGAGCAGCAGGAAGACAAUGAAAGCCACGAUCCCGCCGAUGAUGGCGUGUCAGGCCCACUUAAGGAUACUCCUGGAAGAAGAUGCAGUAGCUCCCUCUACCACCAGGUGUCAGCACUGGAAACAGACGCAGUUCAACAGGACUCCCUCUGCCUGGCUGUUGAGCACAGGGCAGAGGGGAGAUCAGCAAGAUACCAACCACAAGGGCACAAGAACUUUCUCUCACUGCCAAUCAUCAUCAGAUUGGUCUGGAGAGAUCUGGGGGCAGAGACCGGAGCUCAGUGCAUUGUCCUUGCUCUUGGCAUCCUACAAUAGCCUUGUUGUGCUGAGGCAGCUCCCACAUGCUGAGGUCUGCCCCUGGAGUGGGAAUCACCCAUCUAGACAUUCUGAUCUCAAGAACUCAAACCUCUUAUCGCUGGAAGGCCUGACUUUUAUGCCCCCCAACUGUUUUAAUGAGUGUUUCAAGUAAGGGAGCCUCUGACAGUUCCCUGACAAUGCAUUUCCCCUAUUCUGAGAAAAGAUUUACAAGACUUUCUGGUGGGACACACAGCCACUGGGAUCUUCAAAAAAAUCCCCCGUCAACUCUCCAUAAAGGGGCCUCUGUGCCACCCUACCACAACUCCUGAAGCUGGGUUUUGUGGUCACAGCUUUGAGAAGAACUUCAGAGAAGGAGCAUCACCUGGUCCUUCUAGAAGAUACAGCAUCUGAGAAAAGAUUCUGUCUCUUGGCAUAGUACAAGCUUCUCUCUAUUUUCUGUCCAGACCCAGUACAGUGUGCUUAAGGUGGGCAGAAAAAAAAAUGACAGCAGUUGCAUGCACCCAAUACCUAAUCUUAGGAGAAGCAGCUCUGAGAAGAGCCAGUUAGAGAAGGAAAUGCACCUGCGCCUGCACUUGACAGGCUUUGGGGCCUCUGGACACAGAAUUAUUGUUCUUGUUGUCAGACAAGUGCAGGGGAUGGAAGAUGGUGUCACCCAGGCCACCACUACCAAAGAAAGGCAGACGAGAGCCCACCCUUUUAAUGUUUUUUCACUAAGCGGCCAUUUCACAUUCUAGAGUGGACCUGGGACCUAAGCCCUCAGGGACCCCAGUGGUGGGCUGGUUUUCCUUUACUCCACUACCCGUCACAGUUUGGGGAUGUUAUCAGGAAGUAUUUUAAAAGGGAAUACGAUGGACAGAGAAAGGAGAUUCUGGAGGAAGAGAACUGAGGAGGGCUCACCAUUAACGUUGAGAGUGUAGUAGGCCUUGUAGCUGCCCAUGUUGCUGGUGGCCGUGCAGCCGUAGGUGCCGCUGUCACUCUUGUUGAGGAAGGGGAAGAUCAGGGCACUCUCUUGGGUCAUCUUCAGGGGUGGCACACUGCCCUCCUUCUCCCAUAGGUACUGCUGGGGGCUGUCGAGGCAGACAAAUCAGAAGAGCUCAGGAGAGCAUAGGCCAGGGAGCUAAAAGAAAAAAAAAAAAUAACUGGGAGCAGGGAUGUCAAGGACUGUUUGAUGAGGCUGGAGAAAUUAUCAGGGCCAGAGACAUUGGAGCUGCUAUACUCCAGGUGGCCUCUUGGGGUUCGUUCUGGGGAAGCUGGAGACCUCCUGACUUGUAUCUUACUUUAACUUGGCCUUUGUAGGAAACUCAGGGACUGAGCUAGGGAGUGGCCCCUUCCAACUUGUGCUGCUUUGCAGAAGAACUAAUUGCAGGCGGACAUUAUUGGACAGUCAGGGAAAUGAGAGGCUCAGGUCAGACAAUAGAGAGGAGAUAGGAAGGAGCUGUUAUGUGAAGAAGACAAUCUGAGAAUGUGGAGAGUAAGGAGGAGACCAGGAAAUGGAUCUUCUUACACUGGAUUGCCACGACCCUCACAGUGUAGCAACAGCUUCUGGCCCUCACGAGGAUGGGGAGGGUCUGGCCUAAUCAUCGCAGUCGGUGUGUCUGUGGAGAAGGAAAUGGUGUCAAUGAAAACCUCCCCACACAGCUUAGGUGAUUCCCUCGCUUAGUUGCACACUACAGCUUCUACCUCUAAAUGUUUUCGCAGCCCAAGAAGCACCACAAAGACCUUCCUUCUCCUAAUUCUUAUGAACGAGGACCAUUAUUGCUAUUGAAGAUGUGAGCAACUUCUCUUGCAACCUUGUGUGAUAGGAUUCUGGAAGGUCUGUCCUUGUUGGGACUCUAAGAGAUGCCUUAACAGAAAGCUGAGAAGGGAAAUGAGUGGUUUGCCUGUGCCUAGCAAACUUCCUAGCACAUAGGAAGGACCUAAUACAUAUUUUUUACAGAACAAAUAAACUUGAACUUGCCACGUAUUGAGCUUACAA
Molecule: long non-coding RNA, 3309 nt
Organism: Rhinopithecus roxellana (golden snub-nosed monkey)
Lineage: Eukaryota; Metazoa; Chordata; Mammalia; Primates; Cercopithecidae
Exons: 4
Source: RefSeq, a predicted model, not a curated record